This 87-nucleotide transfer RNA is filed under the name Treponema pedis. Its description in RNAcentral is "tRNA-Ser". It matches the Rfam family "tRNA". Rfam says of the family: Transfer RNA (tRNA) molecules are approximately 80 nucleotides in length. Their secondary structure includes four short double-helical elements and three loops (D, anti-codon, and T loops). Further hydrogen bonds mediate the characteristic L-shaped molecular structure. tRNAs have two regions of fundamental functional importance: the anti-codon, which is responsible for specific mRNA codon recognition, and the 3' end, to which the tRNAs corresponding amino acid is attached (by aminoacyl-tRNA synthetases). tRNAs cope with the degeneracy of the genetic code in two manners: having more than one tRNA (with a specific anti-codon) for a particular amino acid; and 'wobble' base-pairing, i.e. permitting non-standard base-pairing at the 3rd anti-codon position. Lineage: Bacteria; Pseudomonadati; Spirochaetota; Spirochaetia; Treponematales; Treponemataceae. RNAcentral also lists the same sequence under 6 other names. The record is from RNAcentral.
GGAGUGGUGCGAGAGCGGCCGAAUCGGGCUCCCUGCUAAGGAGUUGUGCCCUUACGGGUACCGGGGGUUCGAAUCCCCCCUACUCCG